This 655-nucleotide long non-coding RNA is filed under the name Oryza sativa Indica Group (long-grained rice). RNAcentral describes it as "lncRNA OsZS97_04G021050". Lineage: Eukaryota; Viridiplantae; Streptophyta; Magnoliopsida; Poales; Poaceae. The record is from RNAcentral.
AGGAUUCGCUCUGCAGGUUCCAAUUUUCUCAUUGCCGGAUUUUCUUUUUGACAGAGUUGCCAGAUAUAUUCUCUUCAGGUUUAAGCCUGACCCAGAUGCGAUGCCAACAAUUCUGACGCCCAAUUUGCCUGACCCUGAGAAUGCUCAGGAAGUGGGAUGCCUCCGGAGGCAGCAGGCAUCAGUGGACGAUGGAAAGGGCUCAGAGCCUCAGAUGCUGAUCGAUAUGAUUCCCAUGGAAUGGUCAGAAGGGUAUCUCUGGUCGUCCCCGGGCCUGCUGAUAUCAGUGGACAUAGAAGGGGCUCAGAUGCUGAUUGUAAUUCCCAUGGAUCGUGCGAAGAGCAUCCUUGGUCCUCGGCCUGCAGAUAGACUGGAGAUUGUUUCCGUCGCCCUUGGUCCGUCUGUCACGCGGUUAGCGUUUGGAGGCCCAUCAGACGUUCAGACGAUCAUUGCAUGCGCGGGCUCCUCUACGCCGAGGGUUUUGGAUGUCUUUGGUGGUGUAGAAUCGGCGAGUUGCACUGAUGCGUUUCUGCUACGUACUGGUUUUCUGAUGCUCAAAAGCACCGCUUGCGGCAAAUGUGAUUUUUGCAUUAUAAUCAGAGAAAGGAGAGAUGUAUGUACGCUUCGGUUUCACUGGUUGGAUGAUACAUGCGGCUGA